This 191-nucleotide unclassified non-coding RNA is filed under the name uncultured Rhizophydium. RNAcentral's name for it is "sequence contains ITS1". The record is from RNAcentral. Lineage: Eukaryota; Fungi; Chytridiomycota; Chytridiomycetes; Rhizophydiales; Rhizophydiaceae.
AUAAAUUUUUGUAAGUCUUAGUCUUAGGGGCUCUUGAGCCCCCAUGAGGGCUAGGAUCAGUCUCCGGGCCUGUGCCUGGGGACUACCACAAAACACCUGUGCACUUGAAUGUAUCUUGGAUAGGAAUUUUCUUAUCCAAAAACUUUUUAAACCCCUAUUGAUUAUGUCUGAAUUAUUUUAUUAAAUAUAAA